GACGAACGCUGGCGGCGUGCUUAACACAUGCAAGUCGAACGGAAAGGCCCUGCUUUUGUGGGGUGCUCGAGUGGCGAACGGGUGAGUAACACGUGAGUAACCUGCCCUUGACUUUGGGAUAACUUCAGGAAACUGGGGCUAAUACCGGAUAGGAGCUCCUGCUGCAUGGUGGGGGGUGGAAAGUUUCGGCGGUUGGGGAUGGACUCGCGGCUUAUCAGCUUGGUGGUUGGGUAGUUGCUUACCAAGGCUUUGACGGGUAGGCGGCCUGUGAGGGUGGACGGCCACAUUGGGACUGAGAUACGGCCCAGACUCCUACGGGAGGCAGCAGUGGGGAAUAUUGCACAAUGGGCGGAAGCCUGAUGCAGCAGCGCCGCGUGCGGGAUGACGGCCUUCGGGUUGUAAACCGCUUUCGCCUGUGACGAAGCGUGAGUGACGGUAAUGGGUAAAGAAGCACCGGCUAACUACGUG
This 468-nucleotide ribosomal RNA is filed under the name uncultured bacterium. RNAcentral describes it as "partial 16S ribosomal RNA". It matches the Rfam family "Bacterial small subunit ribosomal RNA", at positions 28 to 507 of the family's 1533-position model. The record is from RNAcentral.